This 672-nucleotide ribosomal RNA is filed under the name uncultured archaeon. RNAcentral describes it as "bacterial SSU rRNA". It matches the Rfam family "Archaeal small subunit ribosomal RNA", at positions 1 to 650 of the family's 1478-position model. The record is from RNAcentral.
UUCCGGUUGAUCCCGCCGGACCCCACUGCUAUCGGGAUAGGACUAAGACAUGCUAGUCAAGCGCUUCCCAGCCAAAGGGGAGUGCGGCGCACAGCUCAGUAACACGUGGCUAACCUGCCCUCGAGACGGUGACAACCCCGGGAAACUGGGGCUAAUCUCCGAUAGGCGAAGAGCUCUGGAAUGAGCCUUUACCAAAAUAGCAAUCAGGCUAUGCUUCUGGUUGUCGCUCGAGGAUGGGGCCGCGACCGAUCAGGUUGUUGGUGAGGUAACGGCUCACCAAGCCUAUAACCGGUGCGGGCCGUGGGAGCGGGAGCCCGGAGAUGGGCACUGAGACAAGGGCCCAGGCCCUACGGGGCGCAGCAGUCGCGCAAACUUUGCAAUACACGAAAGUGUGACAGGGCUAUCCCGAGUGCCGUCCGCUGAGGAUGGCUUUUACCUAGUCUAGAACGCUGGGGGAAUAAGGAGAGGGCAAGUCUGGUGUCAGCCGCCGCGGUAAUACCAGCUCUCCGAGUGGUGUGGAUGUUUAUUGGGCCUAAAGCAUCCGUAGCUGGCCAAGCCAGUCCCUUGUUAAACCCACCGAAUUAAUCGUUGGAUUGCGGGGGAUACUGCUCGGCUAGGGGACGAGAGAGGCAGACGGUAUUUUCGGGGUAGGGGUGAAAUCCUAUAAUCCCG